GUGGGGAAUUUUGGACAAUGGGCGCAAGCCUGAUCCAGCAAUGCCGCGUGCAGGAAGAAGGCCUUCGGGUUGUAAACUGCUUUUGUACGGAACGAAACGGUCCGGGUUAAUACCCUGGGCUAAUGACGGUACCGUAAGAAUAAGCACCGGCUAACUACGUGCCAGCAGCCGCGGUAAUACGUAGGGUGCAAGCGUUAAUCGGAAUUACUGGGCGUAAAGCGUGCGCAGGCGGUUUUGUAAGAAAGGCGUGAAAGCCCCGGGCUCAACCUGGGAAUUGCGCUUGUGACUGCAAGGCUGGAGUGCGGCAGAGGGGGAUGGAAUUCCGCGUGUAGCAGUGAAAUGCGUAGAUAUGCGGAGGAACACCGAUGGCGAAGGCAAUCCCCUGGGCCUGCACUGACGCUCAUGCACGAAAGCGUGGGGAGCAAACAGGAUUAGAAACCCGGGUAGUCC
RNAcentral lists this ribosomal RNA (450 nucleotides) under uncultured bacterium. Its description in RNAcentral is "partial 16S ribosomal RNA". It matches the Rfam family "Bacterial small subunit ribosomal RNA", at positions 354 to 796 of the family's 1533-position model. The record is from RNAcentral.